GAUGAACGCUGGCGGUGUGCCUUAGGCAUGCAAGUCGAACGGGAUAGUAGCAAUACUAUCCAGUGGCAGACGGGUGAGUAACGCGUAGGAAUCUACCCCUGGGUGGAGCAUAGCUGGCCGAAAGGUCAGGUAAUUCUCCAUAGUUCUCGUAAGAGUAAAGGACUUAACGGUCCGCCGAGGGAGGAGCCUGCGUCCUAUCAGCUAGUUGGUGAGGUAAAAGCUUACCAAGGCGAUGACGGGUAGCUGGACUGAGAGGUCGAUCAGCCACAACUGCACUGAGACACGGGCAGUACAUCUACGGAUGGCAGCAACCAGGAAUAUUGCGCAAUGGACGAAAGUCUGACGCAGCGACACCGCGUGGAGGAUGACGGCCUUAGGGUUGUAAACUCCUUUUGCCAAGCCGUUCACAGCUUGGAGAAUAAGCACCUACUAACUACGUGCCAGAAGUCUCGGUAAUACGUAGGGUGCAAGCGUUAUCCGGAUUUACUGGGCGUAAAGUGUGCGUAGGCGCCCCAAUAAGUCGUGCUUUAAAUACUAAGGCUUACCCUUAGAACUGAGUACGAUACUGCUGGGGUUGAGGAUUAACAGGGCAACUGGAACAGUUAGUGUAGCAGUGAAAUGCGUUGAUAUUAACUGGAACACCAAGGGCGAAGGCAAGUUGCUGGGUUUUUCCUGACGCUGAGGCACGAAAGCUAGGGUAGCGAAACAGAUUAGAUACCUGUGUAGUCCUAGCCGUAAACGAUGUCCGCUAACUAUGAUCAGUUUACUGGUCGUGGUUCAAGCUAACGCGUUAAGCGGACCGCCUGGGGAGUACGACCGCAAGGUUAAAACUCAAAGGAAUUGACGGGGACCCGCACAACUGGUGGAGCGUGUGGUUUAAUUCGAGACAAAGCGAAAAACCUUACCAGGGCUUGACAUGUAACCGUUUUAUACCUUAGGAAACUUUGGUAGAUCCGCAAGGAUGGUUAUGCAGGUGCUGCAUGGCUGUCGUCAGCUCGUGUCGUGAGAUGUUCCCUUAAGUGGGGAAACGAGCGCAACCCCCGCGAAAUGUUAAAUAUUCAUUUCGGACGGUCCCGAUCAUAUCGGGAAGGAAGGAGGGGAAGACGUCAAGUCAGCACGGCCCUUAUGCCCUGGGUUACACACACCCUACAAUGGCGAAUAACAAUGAGCCGCAAGCCGGUAACGGCAAGCAAAUCUCACAAAUUUCGCCUCAGUUCAGAUUGAGGGCUGCAACCCGCCCUCAUGAAGGAGGAAUCAGUAGUAAUCGCGAAUCAGAAGGUCGCGGUGAAUACGUUCUCGGGUCUUGUACACACCGCCCGUCAAGGCAGCAAAGUCGGGAGUGGAUGAAGGCCGCCGCAAGGUGGACGAGUCCAAGCUUGGCGAUGAAGCUU
This 1391-nucleotide ribosomal RNA is filed under the name uncultured bacterium. RNAcentral's name for it is "bacterial SSU rRNA". It matches the Rfam family "Bacterial small subunit ribosomal RNA". The record is from RNAcentral.